This 259-nucleotide ribosomal RNA is filed under the name uncultured bacterium. RNAcentral describes it as "partial 16S ribosomal RNA". It matches the Rfam family "Bacterial small subunit ribosomal RNA", at positions 524 to 776 of the family's 1533-position model. The record is from RNAcentral.
UACGUAGGGUGCGAGCGUUGUCCGGAAUUAUUGGGCGUAAAGAGCUUGUAGGUGGUUUGUCGCGUCUGCUGUGAAAAUCCGAGGCUCAACCUCGGACUUGCAGUGGGUACGGGCGAGACUAGAGUGUGGUAGGGGAGACUGGAAUUCCUGGUGUAGCGGUGGAAUGCGCAGAUAUCAGGGAGGGAACACCCGGUGGCGGAAGGCGGGUCUCUGGGCCGAUACUGACGCUGGAGGAGCGAAAGCGUGGGGAGCGAACAGG